This 1105-nucleotide unclassified non-coding RNA is filed under the name Monomorium pharaonis (pharaoh ant). RNAcentral's name for it is "uncharacterized LOC105834577, transcript variant X3". The record is from RNAcentral. Lineage: Eukaryota; Metazoa; Arthropoda; Insecta; Hymenoptera; Formicidae.
AACCUUACUGUUACGUUCUACGGAAAGUGUGUGUGACCCGCUUAAGGCAGAGAAAAACGUAGAGUCGUACAUGUCGUAGAGUGACGUAGAGUAUACUAGUGAUGAAGAAAGUGCAGCGGCAGAGAAAAUUUCUUGGAAUAUCUUUGAGUGCUACAAAAAAUAAAAAGAUGUCAGAUCAUUUUGAUUAUUGUAAAACUAUUGCGGAUGUAUCUGACGAAAGCAGUAUAAUUGACUGUGAUAAUGAUUGUGAUCCUACAUGUAUUACUAUUAAAGAAAAGACUGGUGAUGAGCUUCUCAUUGAAUUAUAUAGAGAACGCCCAUUUUUAUAUGAUAAAAGUAACAUUAAUUUUAAGGAUUGUAUAAUGAAACAAAAUGCUUGGAUUGAAAUAUCUAAAAUAAUGAUCCAAACUUGUGGUGACAUGUAUACUCCUUCGUAUUGUCAAAAAAGAUGUAUUUCAAUGAGAGAUCAAUAUAAUAGAGACAAAAGGAAGACUGAAACUGAAUCUAAAAGUGGAAGUGCUGCUACUAAAUCUACUCGAUUUCCUUUCUUUUCUCAGUUAGCAUUUUUAGACAAUGUAAUCAAAAGACGAAAAAGCUACACUAAUUGCACAAAAUCUCAACCGAGUGUAAUUGAUGAAGAUAGUAGUACCGAGUCAGAAAAUGUUGCAAGUGGAUCAAAUAAGGAAAAUGAAAGUGUUAACGAGCAACACAUUUAUAAUAUUAAAUAUGACAAAAACAAUUAUGCACCAAAGAUGAAAAAACGAAAGAUUGACGAAACAAAAGAAUUAGAACAAACAUUAAUGCAAAUGAGUCAUAGAAUAUCAAAUUAUAUGGAAAAACUUCAUAUUUAUUUAUAAAAAUAUAAGUUAACUAUACAUGUUUUAUCCUUCUGACAACAUCUAUUGUAAUGAUCUAUAACAAAUAUGAAUCCAUAAACAAGAAGUGUUUAUGGAUCACCACGAAGCGUUAGAAUGCGUAUGGUCUUCAAAGUUAAGCGACAUCGGCGAGGGUUGACACUUGGAUGAGUGACCGUUUUUUCAGGGUAUAUUACGAUAUCUCAGGAAAUCCCUUGGACAUCCUCUGGAUAUCGUUUGAGAUAUCUACA